CUCAUCCAUUUUUCCACCACACACCUUCAUUGAGUGAGUUAGAGUUAUCACUCUAUUAUAGAAUUCGGCCACACACUCAUCUUCUUCCAUCAUCAUCACACCGAAUUGCCUUUUCAUUGUCUGCAAUUUGACUCUUUUUAGUUGCUCAGCUCCAGCAUAUUGCCUCCCAAGUAUGUCCCAAGCUUCCUUGGAUGAUUCAGCCUCUGAAAUCAGCUCGAAAUGGAUGUUGUCUACAGCUUGGUGUAUUAGGCACAUAGCUUUGCAAUCUUUCCUUCUUAACACCUCCUUCUGUUCUUCAUUUGUAUUUACUUCUAAUGAAUCAAUACCUUCAUUCACAAGUUUCCAUACAUCUUGAUACCCAAAGAUGGUUUUCAUUUGAAUAUUCCAUCUUGACCAGUUCUUGCCAUCUAAGACUGGCAAAUUAGUUGAGUAACCUGGAUUUGAGUGUGCCAUGAUGAUUUGCA
RNAcentral lists this long non-coding RNA (464 nucleotides) under Lupinus mutabilis. RNAcentral's name for it is "partial ncRNA". Lineage: Eukaryota; Viridiplantae; Streptophyta; Magnoliopsida; Fabales; Fabaceae. The record is from RNAcentral.